CCUACGGGAGGCAGCAGUGGGGAAUAUUGCACAAUGGGGGAAACCCUGAUGCAGCGACGCCGCGUGAGUGAAGAAGUAUCUCGGUAUGUAAAGCUCUAUCAGCAGGGAAGAAAAUGACGGUACCUGAUUAAGAAGCCCCGGCUAACUACGUGCGAGCAGCGCGGCAACAAGGAGGGGGCAAGCGUUAUCCGGAUUUACUGGGUGUAAAGGGAGCGUAGACGGCAGCACAAGUCUGGAGGGAAAUGCUGGGGCUUAAACCCGGAACUGCUUUGGAAACUGUGCAGCUAGAGUGCAGGAGAGGUAAGUGGAAUGCCUGGUGUAGCGGUGAAAUGCGUAGAUAUUAGGAAGAACCCCAGUGGCGAAGGCAGCUUACUGGACUGUAACUGACGUUGAGGCACGAAAGCGUGGGGAGCAAACAGGAUUAGAUACCCGGGUAGUC
This 439-nucleotide ribosomal RNA is filed under the name uncultured bacterium. RNAcentral describes it as "partial 16S ribosomal RNA". It matches the Rfam family "Bacterial small subunit ribosomal RNA", at positions 338 to 795 of the family's 1533-position model. The record is from RNAcentral.